ACUUCCAUCAAAGAUCUAUCACAUAUACAACCUGGGAAAGGAUUUGCAUAGAAGUUCUCUUCUAAUCUUGGUGAUUCUCCUGCUUCUCUAGAGUAAGGAGCUCCUAAUCUGUUGGAAUGUAACGUCUUGACCUCGGAGGGUCAUUCUCCAUAACAGGACGUCGGUGGUGGAUAGUGAGUCCGGUUCCGGCCACUCUGGGACUACCGCUGGCAGAAUUGGUGGCGGUGCCACCGGUUGACAUAUUACCCAAUACAGAAUCAAAACAGAGAAUUAUGGGUAAUGUUUGCAGAUUGACAUAUCACAAAAUACAGAAUCAAAGAGAGAAUUAUGGGUCUAUUCAAAGAUUUUUGCUAAAAAAAAAAUGUUUAUCGAUUGACAUAUUACAAAAUACAGAAUCAAAAGAGAGAAUUAUGGGUC
Molecule: long non-coding RNA, 417 nt
Organism: Solanum lycopersicum (tomato)
Lineage: Eukaryota; Viridiplantae; Streptophyta; Magnoliopsida; Solanales; Solanaceae
Source: RefSeq, a predicted model, not a curated record